CAGCUUUACAAAAAACAACACACAGAAGCUGAGAUGGUGUCGGUUUUAUUCAAUUCCACUGAGGCUGACUGGAGUUUGUACUGUAUGUGUAGUGGUGUGUGGGUAAAAUCACUAGGAAAGCACCCCCCACAAAAAGGCAGAUUUAAACCUGUGUUGUGAUAAUUGUGAUGUUUGCUCUAUAACAUAUAUACAUUAACCUUGAGACUGUGAUAUAUAAUCAUGGACGGAGACACAUUUAGAAAGAUCCUGUCGUACUGCAUUUUAUUAUUGUAUACAAAGAAAAACAAGACACGUGUAUAAAUGCAUUGCUUCAAAACUACUCUUAGUAGCCUCAGUAAGAAGACACUUAUCCACAGCAAAAUAUUACAACCCCUUUUUUAAAGAAACAUAGCAUUUGAAAUAAAUACGUUUGGAUGAUAACAUCUUGCUGAUUGCAUUGGGGGCAAUGCACUUUCACACUAUUUACACUUUAAAUCUGACUAAAUAAUCAUCACCGUCUCACAGACCCUCAGUGCUCACAGAAACUGUUGCCCUUUACAUUCAAACCUCAUCCCUUCAUCGUCACAUUCUAUUUUUAAAUGUGCUUUUGUCAAGGAACCAAAAGUGAAAACUACACAUUUUUCCCAUUACCAGAAUAUACAGUGUACUGUAUACUAUAUAAAGACAGGACAAUGUACCAGAUAUAACUUGGUGUCAAACAGAAGACAUGCAAGCACUCAAUAAAGUGAAGAAUAUGAAUGUGACCAACAUGUCCCUCUUGAAGGUGACAUAAAGUAGACUAUACAGGUUACAUAAAGUAGACUAUACAGGUUACAUAAAGUAGACGAUACAGGUUACAUAAAGUAGACUAUAGAGGUCACAUAAAGUAGACUAUAGAGGUCACAUAAAGUAGACUAUACAGGUUACAUAAAGUAGACUAUACAGGUUACAUAAAGUAGACGAUACAGGUUACAUAAAGUAGACUAUAGAGGUCACAUAAAGUAGACUAUACAGGUUACAUAAAGUAGACUAUAGAGGUCACAUAAAGUAGACUAUAGAGGUCACAUAAAGUAGACUAUACAGGUUACAUAGAGUAGACUAUACAGGUUACAUAAAGUAGACGAUACAGGUCACAUAAAGUAGACUAUACAGGUUACAUAAAGUAGACUAUACAGGUUACAUAAAGUAGACUAUACAGGUUACAUAAAGUAGACUAUACAGGCUACAUAGAGUAGACUAUACAGGUUACAUAAAGUAGACUAUACAGGUUACAUAAAGUAGACUAUACAGGUUACAUAAAGUAGACUGUACAGGUUACAUAAAGUAGACUAUACAGGUUACAUAAAGUAGACUAUACAGGUUACAUAAAGUAGACUGUACAGGUUACAUAAAGUAGACUAUACAGGUUACAUAAAGUAGACUAUACAGGUUACAUAAAGUAGACUAUACAGGUUACAUAAAGUAGACUAUACAGGUUACAUAAAGUAGACUAUACAGGUUACAUAAAGUAGACUAUACAGGUUACAUAAAGUAGACUGUACAGGUUACAUAAAGUAGACUAUACAGGUUACAUAAAGUAGACUAUACAGGUUACAUAAAGUAGACUAUACAGGUUACAUAAAGUAGACUAUACAGGUUACAUAAAGUAGACUGUACAGGUUACAUAAAGUAGACUAUACAGGUUACAUAAAGUAGACUAUACAGGUUACAUAAAGUAGACUAUAGAGGUUACAUAAAGUAGACUAUACAGGUUACAUAAAGUAGACUAUACAGGUUACAUAGAGUAGACUAUACAGGUUACAUAAAGUAGACUAUACAGGUUACAUAAAGUAGACUAUACAGGUUACAUAAAGUAGACUGUACAGGUUACAUAAAGUAGACUAUACAGUUUACAUAAAGUAGACUAUACAGGUUACAUAAAGUAGACUAUACAGGUUACAUAGAGUAGACUAUACAGGUUACAUAAAGUAGACUAUACAGGUUACAUAGAGUAGACUAUACAGGUUACAUAAAGUAGACUAUACAGGUUACAUAAAGUAGACUAUACAGGUUACAUAGAGUAGACUAUACAGGUUACAUAAAGUAGACUAUACAGGUUACAUAAAGUAGACUGUACAGGUUACAUAAAGUAGACUAUACAGGUUACAUAAAGUAGACUGUACAGGUUACAUAAAGUAGACUAUACAGGUUACAUAAAGUAGACUAUACAGGUUACAUAAAGUAGACUAUACAGGUUACAUAAAGUAGACUAUACAGGUUACAUAAAGUAGACUAUACAGGUUACAUAAAGUAGACUAUACAGGUUACAUAAAGUAGACUAUACAGGCUACAUAAAGUAGACUGUACAGGUUACAUAAAGUAGACUAUACAGGUUACAUAGAGUAGACUAUACAGGUUACAUAGAGUAGACUAUACAGGUUACAUAAAGUAGACUAUACAGGUUACAUAAAGUAGACUAUACAGGUUACAUAAAGUAGACUAUGCAGGUUAUUUACCAGGAUUUGGAGUGUAGAUGAGUAGAUCUGUCAGGUGUGUUAGACAGUAGAGGGGUGUCACUACAUUCCUCAGUGUUUGUUUAUACUGUAAGCUUAUGGUGUCUGUCAGGAACGCCACACCAGACACACCCUUACGUAUUCUCUUGGCAGUUAGUCACGUUGUAAAAUCUGUGUCCUUGGUAACUCAAAGCAGAAUGAGAAAAAAACAACACAGUUAUUGGCGGCUUGAAAAAAUGUAUGUGUUGCGUAAGUUGUUUUCUAUGUCAGCUGAAUGCACCUUUAAGUUCAUUGAACCAUGGUUAUGUGAGUGUGAAUUUACGUUGUACGUAAAUUCCCC
Molecule: long non-coding RNA, 2811 nt
Organism: Oncorhynchus tshawytscha (Chinook salmon)
Lineage: Eukaryota; Metazoa; Chordata; Actinopteri; Salmoniformes; Salmonidae
Source: Ensembl